CAAUAGCGUAUAUUUAAGUUGUUGCAGUUAAAAAGCUCGUAGUUGGAUUUCGGAUGGGAUUUGCCGGUCCGCCGUUACGAUGUGCACUGGCCAGUCCUAUCUUGUUGUCGGGGACUAGCUCCUUGGAUUCACUUCCUGGGACUAGGAGCUGACGAGGUUACUUUGAGUAAAUUAGAGUGUUCAAAGCAAGCCUACGCUCUGAAUACAUUAGCAUGGAAUAACACGAUAGGACUCUGGCUUAUCUUGUUGGUCUGUGAGACCAGAGUAAUGAUUAAGAGGGACAGUCGGGGACAUUCGUAUUUCAUUGUCAGAGGUGAAAUUCUUGGAUUUAUGAAAGACGAACUUCUGCGAAAGCAUUUGUCAAGGAUGUUUUCAUUAA
This 379-nucleotide ribosomal RNA is filed under the name uncultured eukaryote. Its description in RNAcentral is "partial 18S ribosomal RNA". It matches the Rfam family "Eukaryotic small subunit ribosomal RNA", at positions 592 to 976 of the family's 1831-position model. The record is from RNAcentral.